UCAGCCAGCUAUGGUCUCCGGUCGCCGGCACCGAAGGAUUAGUCCACCAUGGAGCGGGCGGCGGCGGAGGCGACUUGCUCAGCUCCAGACCGGAAUCUCUCGUCGGAGAGACACCUUUGCCGUUGGACGAGGGCUUAGCCCUGUGGCUUCGGGGAACUUCUUCGAUGAUGACGGUGGAAUUGUGGAACGGGUGUUGGGAUUGUUAGAUGUGUUGAGUGACAAACGCCGGUGGCAAAAGGGGGCCGUGCAGUCGACGAGGUGAUCGGGGCAGCACAACAGGGUGAGGUCCGUCAAUGCGGUGCCCGCCGCCCCCGGAGAGAGGGGAAAGUGUACGAGACGACAAACGUUGAAGCCAUGGUCAAGGAUACGGACCACACAACCCCAUGCGAAAUGUCACUUUUGCCCUCUGGAGUUCUGCCUUUCUCAGAGCCCACCCCACCCUCACGGCUCCACUCGAGUAUUCUGCACGAAAAAGUUAAAAAUCAAACUGAACCACGACAAAGUUCAAGCUCUUCUCAACCACAGCUCUUACCUUUGUCACGAUCAUGAUGGAGAUCUUAAUAGCAGUAUUCCACGUUCCGUUUGGUUUUAGGGACUAAAAAUUAAUUCAUUCAUUUUAGUUUUAUUUAGUAGCUAAAUUGGCAAAUAAGUUGCAAUAAAACAGGGACUAAACUGUUUUAGUCUUUAGUCCGUCAAAGAUCUAUUAAAUGAGACUAACUCAUAUUAAUUCAAUAUUUUGACUCUCCUUCAUUUGUCCAUGGAUCGCUCUGGUCUUGCAUCUUACAAUUUGUUGGUCAGUUUAUAUAAGAUUCCUAAUGUUGUAUCUACAUGUGUUGCACAAUAUUGAUAUUUUUUGCUAUACACUCUCCUGUUGCAGCCCAAACUAUAAGUCCUUUAUGUAUCUAGAAAAGCUAAAACGACUUAUAAUUAGGAGGAGGGUGUAUAACGCUAAUAUUUUUUUGUUUCACUAUCCAUAUUUCUUUACUGUCAUUUUUUACUAUAUUAUUGGCUUUAGACAGAUUACUAUGAUACUUUUCGUUUUUCUUCAAUAGUGCUCAACAUAAUUUAGGAUGAGAAACUGGCUCCCACUAAUUGUUGUUGCAUUGUCCCUCUGUUAGUUGUUGCAUUGUCAUUUGUUGAACUACAGGUGAACCAUGAAUUAAGACUUGGGAUCAUAUCAUCGUCAUUCUCUCUUAGUCUCUUUCUUGAAAAAUAAUUUUUUGUGCAUGGAAAAAUGUGAUAAACUGUGUUUGAACAGGACAUAUGUCAGGCAUCAACCAAUAAGAGGGAAAAGUGGAGACAUGGUUUUUGGGACAUAUGUCACUUUUUGGGAGGGAAAUAGGCUUUUUUCUCGAUGUUGAAACAUGGUUUUGUCUUUGGUCACUUGGGCUCAUUUCAUUAGCAUUGUAUGGAUCAUCAUUGGCAGUAAGACCGAUGCAACCCUACUCCUUGAUGGCUUGGUACAAGGCUUCAAAAUAUCUGAAGUAAGCAAAUCUGCUAGCCUCUCAAAGUGAGCCUGAGACCUGCAAACCUCAAAGUGGUAAAUAGCUAUGUGGUAAUCAUGUAAGAGUGCUAUUAUGUUUUAUUUAAGACCUCAAAGUGAGCCUAGGAGUGCUAUUAUGUUUUAUUUCAGACCUCAAAGUGGUGAAUAUCUAUCUUGUAACAUAGAUGAGAAAUUCCACAACAAUAAAGUUUAUCACAAUCAUUAUAGUUAAGGAAGACAAAUAACAAAAAAAGAGGGAAAAUUCAAAUCAUAGAGUAUCUAAACAAAAUAGAUCACAAGUUCACAAGGGGAGACGACACACGCGGGUGGGGGCAGGGUAGGACCUCACACGUCGGUGUCAUCCAGGGUCCAGGGAUCGUAGGCAUCGUCGUAGACCGUGGCCUGCUCGGGAGCCCUGGCCCGGAUUCGUCCCCGAUGGCCUGGAGCCUCGCGCCGACGUCGAGGCGGUCGAGGGGGUGGUGUGACGGGAGACGACGCACGCGGGGCAAGGGGCAUGCGCCGCGAGCGGGCGGGGCGCGGCGGCCGCAGCGCGGCGGCCGCACGUCAUCUGUUGGGUCGAAGGCUGGGGGUGGGUAUUGCACGGCUGAUGGGUAAGACGAGGGCGUCGGGGCGGAGGCGUUGCCUCGCCCUGUGGGCGAGCAGGCGGGGCGCGCGGGCGGCAGUAGGCGGGGGCAAGGGGUGUGGACGCCUUCGUUGUACUCUUAAUAGAGUAGUAAAGAUGAACAACCCAACUUGGUUUUAUACCUGUUUCUGAUAAAAAAAUAUUUCUUUCUUUUGGCUAGCUCAUUAUUUUGCAUACUUUCUAUCACAUGAAGAAGAAUUAUGACUAUAUGUGCGUAAUUUAAGUUCUACCACAGUUGUUUGUAACUAGAGAUUAAAAAUUUCUAUGUAGCACCUUAUGACAGUUUUUUUCUUCUUCCUUGCAGUCGGGAAUUAAGUGAGACAAUGUAGAAGGUGAAAGAGGCGAGCAUGGCACAAAAGUGUGAACAAGCGACAGUGAUUUGUUGAACGAAUGACAAUCUUUUGAAGACGCCCACUGCCAAUUCUCUGCCUUUGUCAUGUGUGAGAAACCUUAAUCGGUACUCAAACUUUGGCAUGAAUCUAAGCUACUAGCCCAACUAAAUACACUGAUAAAUAAUUAUGUAGUGAAUUUAUUUAGCAUGUGUAGUGAGGGUAAUCUGGAUUUUUACACUUUGCAAUUGCUAUGUUUCAAUGUUUGAACUUUGGUGUACAAUAUCCCGCCUCUGCCCCAAAGAGGAUGUUAUCCAGGAUUCAUCUUGUUUGGGUUCCUUUUGACAUCAAAAUAAGUUGGUGGAUAAGGUGCUGUUUACAAUAAAAAAAAUCCCAACAUAUUACUCUAACAAGCAAAAUGGUACAUUAGUUGCCUUUUUUGUUUGUUUUCUUUUCUACCGCUUGAAUUUUUCAGGUGACUGGAAUUUCUGGCACAAAUGCUCUAAUUAUUCUAGGUACAAGAGCACAAUGGUUGUUGUAGCAUAUGAACCCUGCCGUGGUUAUUCAUACUAAAUGUGAAUAACAGAAUUCUUGCUUUGUUUGUGGCCUUUGAUCUGCAAGAGGGUCUAGCACUGCUAAUCUCCUCUAUCCAGGCUCUGCUAGAACUGGUGGAAGGUGAUUAUACGUGCGAAAUGUCCCUACUGUUGCUGUUUACACUAAAAAAUUGCUUUCCUGAUAAUUUAUCAUGAUUCGGACAUCAAUAUUGCAGCAGUUUGUACGGGCUAACCAAGAAGAUGUGGCUGAGGAUAACGCUAUGCUUCUUCCUAGGUCCUAUGGUGAUUGUCAUGUACCCAGAUAGUCAUUGGUAAUCGGAGCUCCGACCGAGGGACUGCAACCGUGCUCUGUGACCAUGUCCAGGUCGAGGGGUUCAGCUCGGGAGCCUUCUCUGACCUCGUCAUGAGGGUUCAAUUCGAUUUGCAUGUCAUUGCACCAAACAAGUUUAUGCUUCGUCUGCAGCCACCUGACUUCAAGACAAGGAAGGUGAUGAGUUGCAUAGGAACUCCGAUGUGCUAGAAAUCCUCAUGAAUACCAGGUUUCUAAUGGUCUAUGUGCAGUAUGAGCGUUCACUAGAAACAAUCAUAGGACACGAUCAAAUCAUCUGGCUCGGGGGCCUAAAUUACCGAAUCAUGCUUUCCCAUCAGUUAGUGAAGGCCCUUGUCGAGAUGCGCAAUUCUAGAGAAAGAUUAGGUGAGAGCUUGGUAACCCUCAGGUUUCUUUUGGUUACCCAGUAGUCCAGCUACCAACACUUGAAACAAGCUCUUCAGAUGAGAAGCAGCAGAAGCAACUUUUCUUUAGAAUCUACUUGGUUUCUAAGGAUUGUCAGCAUCAUAAGUUUUCCGCCACAUCCUUUCUUAUAGGUGAUUGUUUGAUCCCCAACCUAGACUCAAAGAAACUUUACUGUUAGUUGCAGAAUUGAUGCUCAGUUCCUUUAAAAAUGUCUCUUAUAGAUGGAAUCGGAACACACUUGUGCAGAUUAGUAUCACGAUGUAAUUAUUUUUAUUUAUAAUAAUGAGUAUUAUUUAUUCCUAGAGUUCUCAGUUUUUCUUGUUGUAUUCAAUGAAUACGCCGUUCUAAUACGGUACUCUUCAUAAUAAUAUGCAUGUUUGUCAGUCGUUAAGGGAACUUACAAGCUAAAGAAUUUCACAACUGCUGUUAAAUAUGAUUAGAAUUUAUCCUUAGAAAUGACCAGACAUCAAGGACCAUUUACUACAGUCUACUAAUCUAUACAUGUAGGCAAGAAACUGCACGUGGGUGUCCCAUUGAGCCUCUUCCUUUUUAUGUCAAAUAUUUCUUUCCUAUAUUUUCUUGUCUUUGACAUUUUUUUGUCGUUCAUAUUUGGCCUGUCAUUAGAGUGCAAAGAAACUCCAUGUGGGUGUCCCAUUGAGCCUCUUCCUCUUUAUGUCAAAUAUUUAUUUCCUAUGAGAGCCGCGUCACCUAUUAUUUUUGCCAGAGGUACAGAAAAGUCUCCUUUUAUUCUAGAUACCAUUUUUGGAAAUUCAAUGCUGGAUUACAUAGUUCAUAAUAUCAUGGUUUCAGUGUCCAGAAUGGAGCCGCUAAUAAUUUGUCAACUAGAUCAACUAAAGAAAAAUUGAAUCAGUCUCAAGCACAAUCGUUUAAUAGUGUGAAAAUUGGAUGAAACUAAUCGAUCAAGUGAAGAAGACAAAGGAAAAAUAUAGGUUUUGUUUUUUGCCGGUCAGCAGGUGUUUAGAGAAGAAAUUGACCGGAUUAAUAGGGUAGACGGUCGUACUAUUAAGAGGGGUCAAUGAACUUGAUCGGUGUAAAACUUAGUGCCUCGUAUAAUAUAAACGGUUGCAUUUACAUGAGGGCUAACAACGCUUCGUUUUUUAAAAUACAAAAUCUUUUGAAAAAGCGCAAAAAUAUCAACUCUGUGGUUGGUAGAACGUCCGAGCCAGGAGGCCAGCUCGUCCGCGACUCUGUCAGAGAAGUCUGCUGGCGCCUUGUCUCUGUCUCCCUUCGCUACCAUCCAAGCCAGGAGGCUGGACCGUCCGCAUAAACUGAAUUGAGUUUGGGCAGGGAAAGUGUGUUUUUGAGUCCUUGCACUAUGGACUGUCCGGGGUUUUUAGCCGGACGGUAAGUGGUCCAUGUGCAGACCGUCCGGCCAUAAAAUGGCGGACACUCCGCUCGGAUUGUUUUAACUGACGAGUGCUAUGAUAUUCCAUGUUGACAGGUCCCGGACCGUCCGGCCCAGGAGGGUGGAUCGUCCAGGCUUGACUUUUUCUGACAGCACUGACAGGUUUCAACGGUCUUUAUAGCCGUUACUGGUACGAUGGACCGUCCGGCCAUGGGGCGUGGACCGUCCAUGUGUGCGCAGAAGUUGUGCUAUUUGCACAUAAUGACUAGGUUUGAGUUGUGGGCUAUAAAUAGAAAUGGAGCUUGUGUGUGAGGGCUCUCUUGACCACUCCUAGCAUACAUUGAGCUCAUUUGUGAUCCUCUAACUCAAACUCUCAUACUUGUUGCUUGAGAUCGCAUUCUAGUGAGUGAUUGAGAAGUUCUAGUGCAUUUGCAUCCUUUGAGAAGUUCUACCGCCCCCUUCCGCAUACUAUUCCUCCCCGCACCACCGCAGCAAACGUCGGCCCCAUCCCGCCAUCUUCCUCUCCGCGCUGCCCCUCUCCCUGCUCGGAUCGGCACGCAUGGUACUGUUGUUUCUCCUACUCCUCUCUUCUUCGAGGUUCUCGAUCUCUCAGCUGAGGCGUCUGUGUCACCUGCCAUUCCCUAGUAGUCUCUCCUUCGGGUGUCCUAACAUACUCCUCUCUCCUUCUCGUGUCGUCGCCCCGAAGCAUGCUACUCCUCGCGCCACCGCAGUUUCCGUGACCCCUCCCCGUUUGUCUCCAUGGCGGCGCGGAAUCCGACUUGACAUGGCGGCAUUCUUGACAGACCUCACCCCUCUUCUCUGUUAGCAACUCUGUCGGCUAGGGCACGAACUAACAGUCGCUAGAGGUGUGGAGAACGGGAAGAUAUGACAUGGGGAAGAAGAAGAUAGCAGGGAAGGCGAUAAUAGAAUUGUUAUUUUUGUUCUUCGAUACCCUCUCCUGUACAGAUACACGCCAUUUAUAUAUGGACGCGGUCACACAAGUGUAUCAGUAUUGAGGCCCAUAUUACAUGGCCCAACGUGGCCCAACCACAUUUAUAUUUGGCCAGGGGCUGGCGCACUUUGAUCUCCUCGACUGCGCUUAAGCCUUCUCUUCUGCCGCGUCUGUUUCUGUUGUCUUGUUCAUCCCUUUCCACUUAUGAUUGCUUGCUAACAGCUUCAUCGCCUUGUAUUGACCUCCAGUUGCCUCCCCACUUGCCAACCUAUGUGGUGACCAUGGCAGUAUGUCUGACCAGGGCCGUACCUGUGGGGGUGCCAAGGGUGCGGCCGCACCAGGCCCCCAAAAUCAGAGGGUCCCCUAGCCACUAGACGCUAACACUUUUUUCCUGUUAAACCUAUCUAUUCUAGACACAAAUACGCAAAGAGCGAUGCGCUAUCAACUAGUCUCAUUUAGAUUGUUAAACUAAUGUCUCAAUUGCUUAUCGAAUACUCCAUCCGAUAAAAAAUAGUAUUUGUUUUAGCUCUUGAUUUUUUAUGUUUAUAUUCAACUAGAUGAUGAUGAAUCCACUAAAGAAGCAAAACAAAUUUUAUUUUGAUAUAGAGAGAGUAUUAUUUACUAUACACAUGAUGGUUGCAUCGGCAGAGAGAAGCUUUUUAAAAUUGAAAUAUUUUUGUGAACUAUUUAUGGUCAACAAUAACUUAAGAGAGGUUAAACGGCUUGACGAUUCUAUAUAUCGAAAAAAAGUUGUUGGAUGAAAUUGAUCUCAAUGAUAUAAGCGAUGACUUUGUAUCACAAAAUGUUAGAAGAUAUUUUUAAUGAUAUCAAAUAAGAAGUAAGUGCUUUUAGCUAUAUUUUACAUUUGUUAUCUUAUAAGCAUCAAAACAGAGCAUAAUAAUUUUUAUAUGUUAAAUAUUCGAUACUGUAUGUAUAAUUAUAUAUAUUUGUGUGUGGAUGGACCCUCCAUAUCGGAUUUCGUUCAAGGCCUUGAAAAGUCAGGAACGGCCCUGACACUGACAUUCUCUCGUCUGCGCGGCGUACAUUCUCCUAGCCGCCAUCCUCACCAUGCCGCUGCGGAUCCCGCCCGCGGUAUGACUCCCUCCUCACCUACGUGGCCACGCGCGACGCAGCCGCAACGACCUAACCCCCAUGUCGUCGCUGACCUCGCGUCCCGUCUCGCUGCUACGAUGCCUUCGUGGAAGCUUGAAGGUAUGAUGUCCCUUCCAUCUCUCUUCUUUGAUGGACUGCUCUUUGUUGUUCCAGUUCACUACUAAUGUGGGUUUUGCCUAUUGGUAGGAAAAAAAAUUCUUUACAUCUGGGAUGUAAAGAAUCUCUUUUACAGCCCCUCACAUACACCAGCUGCUGGUAUAUAUAAAUAGAAGAAAAAAAUAAAUUACUAAAAGAUUAUUUUGUAAAUUUUGAUCUGUCUUUGUGGGCCUUUAAGUGGUGCAUGUGAGGGGCUGUAAAAGGUGGUGUUCACAUGCGGUAUGUAUAGAUUUUUUUUCCCGGUGGUAAGCCUGGUGCGAUGGCGUUGGUAACAAAAAAAAAGUAGAAUGCACGCUUUAUUUAUUUUGAUGCCAAAAAUUCGAAUCGAAACUGCAAUUGGCCGCUUACAAUAUUAUUGUUGACAAAAAAUGAAAUGCGUGCUAGCAUCAUAGCUAACGAUAUUAUCAUACAUGUUUUGGUACAUUUAGCACUAAAAGGUGUGCUCUGAUGCUAUUUGCAUCAAUUAAACCAUCUUUAAGAAUAUGUCAUUGGUUACUUCAUAUAAUUUUGUCUUGUAAUUUGUUUGAACUUGUAAUGCCUGGAGAAGUCUGCAGUAAAAAAUUGUUAGGAUGCAGUCGUACUGCCAGGUUCAUUAAUUAGGUGAAUUUUUUGGUAUUUGUAGUUUUCAAAAUGAUGAAUAUGUACACAGAUGAAUAUGUAUAUUAUCUAAAAUUUAUUGGAUGUAACGUUCAAUUGUUUCAUGAUACACAUGUGUUGGUUAUUGGAGGGGAACGGUGGUGUUCUGUGUUAGGUUUCACGACAUAUCUCUGUGGAGCAGAUUGGCAUAUGUGAAAUUGAUAAGACGGUGGUAGAUGGUGAUGGUUUUUGCAUUAUCGGUUCUUUAGCGUGUCGACUGUAUAUUUUGUUGAACCAUGUAAGCUGUCGUCUUCUCUCAGUGCAAGCUUUGUGGGAGAGAUGGAACAAUUGUGAUGAUUCAUGGGCUUUCAUUCAAGAUUUUUGAAGAUCUAUCUAGAACUUCCACCAAUAGUCCAACCAUUACAAAUGGAAGAGGAUCUAGAGCAACUGAAAGUUUUUGAAAACAGCUAUCGGAUGAAGGUGAUCAAAGUGGAGCAAAAUGCCCGUGGUGUGGAUGCACCUGAGGUGCAUUGAGAAAAUCGAAGCGCUGACGUGAGCGAGAAAUAUCCAGUAGAAAAUGAUGGCAGAGCGAGUGCUUUGCAUUGCUAUCAGUGUAGGCUUGAUAGGAGACUUUUGGUUGUGAUAUCUUAUUUUCUAAAUAGUAUGAUACCAGAUAGGGGGGCCGUAAGGGCGCCUUUUGCUCUAGUAUUAGGCUGUCUCCAGCAACGUCUCCUAAAUUUCGUCCUUUAAAGUAAUAUUCUUUAUCAUUUACAGCAUCCUCUAAAAAAUUCGUCCUCUAUA
Molecule: long non-coding RNA, 8706 nt
Organism: Zea mays
Lineage: Eukaryota; Viridiplantae; Streptophyta; Magnoliopsida; Poales; Poaceae
Exons: 7
Source: RefSeq, a predicted model, not a curated record